Corticium candelabrum is the source of this 709-nucleotide long non-coding RNA. RefSeq lists it as uncharacterized. The record is from RefSeq and is a predicted model, not a curated record. NCBI's taxonomy places the organism in Eukaryota, Metazoa, Porifera, Homoscleromorpha, Homosclerophorida, Plakinidae. The transcript is spliced from 5 exons.
GCGCAAAGAAGCGAUGGCUGCCCUGAUGGAAGUGACUUGCAACAGCGAUUCAGACUCAUCCAGUGAACGAGAAAUGGAACGCGAAGUUACAGUGAUUUGUGGUUGCACUAAGAAGAGCAAGUGUGCCAGAGCGCGGUCAAGUGGUCGUGGAUGCGUUUGCAAGGCAAACAAGACCAACUGCACGCCUUUGUGUAACUGUAGCCGCACGUGUUGCACAAAUAGGGUAGGUUGAUGUAGACGAGUGUACAAAUUGGAACUCCAAAACCGCUGUAAAUAUAGGCUGACGCCACAAAUGAUCCGUCAUCUGCGAGUGCUGUCCAUCGUCAGCUUCCUCCGAGGGAGCGCUUCUAUUCGGGAGAUGAAGUCAGGAUUACCUGCACGACUACUUUGUCUCUGAAUUAACUUUGCUGUUGGAGGUGGUGGUAUUGGAGCUAUUGUAGGAGCAAUGUGACAAGGAUGUUCUGCAGCGAUUUGUGUUCUGUCAUCUAUUGUCCCUGACGCUGACAUUCGCAUCUGGAGGCAUCUUCUCGUCAAUUCAGAUUGAACGAUGUACAGAAAAGAGCAAUUUUGCUGAAGUUGUUGCCAGACAAAAGAAUUGAAGAUGCCAUCAAGACAUUGUUAACAAAAAAGGAUUUUGCCCAGAAGCUGGAUUAUACAGUCAACAUCACACACAACACGUUGUUCAUUCACAGCUUCUUCAGGACUAUUU